GGACUACUGGGGUUUCUAAUCCGGUUCGCUCCCCACGCUCUCGCACCUCAGCGUCAGCGCAUGCCCAGGCGGCUGGUUUCCCCCUGGGUGUUCCUGCCGAUCUCUACGCAUUUCACCACUACACCGGCAAUUCCACCGCCCUCUGCAUGGCUCCAGUCCGGCCGUAUGGGAUGGCGCCUGGCCGUUAAGCGGCCAGAUUUCACACCCCACGCGCCAGACCGCCUGCGUGCGCUUUACGCCCAGUCAAUCCGGACAACGCUUGGCUCCUCUGUCUUACCGCGGCGGCUGGCAC
This 292-nucleotide ribosomal RNA is filed under the name uncultured bacterium. Its description in RNAcentral is "partial 16S ribosomal RNA". The record is from RNAcentral.